UACAGAGACUGCAAGCGUUAUUCGGAUUCACUGGGCGUAAAGGGUGCGCAGGCGGUUGUGUGGGGCAGGUGUGAAAGCCCGGGGCUUAACCCCGGAAUUGCGCCUGAAACUACAUGACUAGAGCAUUGGAGAGGGUAGCGGAAUUCACGGUGUAGCAGUGAAAUGCGUAGAUAUCGUGAGGAACACCAGAGGCGAAGGCGGCUCCCUGGACAAUUGCUGACGCUCAGGAACGAAAGCGUGGGGAGCAAAAGGG
RNAcentral lists this ribosomal RNA (253 nucleotides) under uncultured bacterium. RNAcentral's name for it is "partial 16S ribosomal RNA". It matches the Rfam family "Bacterial small subunit ribosomal RNA", at positions 524 to 776 of the family's 1533-position model. The record is from RNAcentral.